UGAAGUCCCUAGCGUCUUGUAUAAGCAACUUUUCAUUCGAUAUUACAACGAGAUCUCCUCAAGUCUCGACCCUUCCCGCACUUUCUCAGCAACCCUAACCCUAACAGCUGAGUCAUGAGAAUUACAUUCGCAUCCAAGCAAAUUUUUCCGAUUUAGUUUUUUGUUAACGAUUUUUCGAUGUCAUUGUUGACUGAGCUUAUUCUUUUGCUCCAUAGCAUCGACAUACGCUGACAAUGUCCAAUACGUUCGAAAUUUUAGAAAAGAAAUAGAAGUGAGAGAAUGGACGCCAUAGAUUCAGUGUUCAAUCCGCUUAGAGAGUUCGCCGACGACAAAGAGGUGCCAUAACCCCUAUCGCAAAGAUCUCAUGAAGAUGGUGUUCCUUACAUCGAUAAGGUUCGUGGUAUGGGAUUUGUCGGUUUUAUCGGGAAGCUGAUCUUCAUCCCGAUCAACAUCAUCAUCGUGGGAUCUCUCUAGGUAAGGCGGACUAUUUAAUCGCUUGAUGGACUCUGGUGUGCUUUUAUGCUUUUCAUUCGGACACUGUAAUUGCGUUUUGCCAAAUCCUAUAUAAUUUGCAAUUCAGUAAAUUCAUACGGAUAGAUCAAUAUAAAGGAAAUAUUUCGAGUAUAAAUUUGUAUAUCAAUCUUAACCACGAUACUUUGCUCUUCUGAUCUCAACAUCUUGCUGUCGAAGCCUCAUCUCUGGUUUUCCACGACCACUUCAAUUUUUUCUCUCUUAUCCUUUUCACUUUUCAUAUUGUCUAUGAUCCAAAUACUUCAAUUUUCUUUCAAUUUCUCACCAGCCACCAAACAAUUUUUUUUAGAAUAAUUAAUGUUUUAGUUAAUUAAUAUUUAAAUUUAUCACUGUAAUGAAUCUUUGAUCAUAUUUCUUUGCGCAAUGAUUGCAUUAAGAAUUUACUUCAUAGCGAAGAUAAUUGAAUUUUAGUUAUAGUUUAUAUGUUCCUGAAGAGAUUUGAUGUUUAGCAUACUCCGAUCUUUUGUUGCUUUUGAGAUCUUAAUUAUGGCUAGUACUAGACCAAUCUGGUAACUACCAAUUUUAUGGAUUGUUCAGCAUUUCUUAUUGUUGUUUGGUCUUGCACUCUUGCCUUUUCAUUAAUAUGAAUGCAGUGAAGUAGAUGAAAUCUUCAACACAUGAUAUAAUAGGCAGUGACAUGAUGGACUAAAUCUUGUGAGUGCUAUUAACUUUCCAUUUCCACGUCUGUUCUCCCACCCUUUUAUCUUUUCUCUUUGCCACUUCACUUUAGACAACUGGAUAUGUUGUUUUGCCUAUGCGUUCCGACAUCUGUAUCCAUCUGUUUGCAUGUUACCAUCAGCAAGUGAGGAAGCAGUAAACCUUGUUGGGUAAGUAUUAAUGUCGUAAACUAUAUAGUUGCCUGACCUUUGUGUUUCCCUCUCAACUUUUGGAGGCAUUUAUUUGCUUUGUUCCUGAGAGGUUGAGACUCACAAGCUCCUCUCAGCUGUAGAGGCCCUUCUGUAUCCUUUUUUCAGACCCUGUUGUGAGGUAUGCUUUUAGUGUGAAUAAAUAACAUAUAUAUAACCUUUUUCUUUAGUUUCUAUUCUGGUAAGGCAUUACUGUAGCCAUUCAUUGAUUGCAGUUCGCCAACUGAUGUAGUUUUUAGAACUACAGAUGUAAAUUUUGUGUAGGAUUGAACAACCAAAACCUAAUGUUAGUGAUUUGCUUUGAAUCUCUCUGGUAUGGUCGGAUAGGCUCACCUUCCCCUCUCAACCUACAAUGAAAUCCUAGUAAUAUUGGAAAACCUAGAAGCACAUAGGCUUCAUGGACAAAAAAACCUAAUUUAAAGGAAAUUCUACUCUAGUAACUGAUAAGGAUUGACCCUGCAUAACCUUUGUUGAACACUAUAGUCACAUUUGUGUCCUACAUUCACUUUGUUCCAGAACAGCAGCAAUUAUAACAGCCCCUCUGGUUUGUUGUCUUUGUUCCAACAUCUCUUUUAUCCGUGUUCUCAGAUUUGUAAUUGCAUGAAAGGUGUAGAAAUAUAAUUUCCACGUCACAGGUGGUACAAGGGUGGGCCUGGAGCAGCAAGAUGCGAGGAGAUAUCAUGGUGCUUUAUCAAAAUCAACACUAACUGUGGCAUUUUUCCUUCUCCCAAGUUACAUGCCUCUUUGAGCACAGGUGGUUCUCUGUCUUAGCUUCUGAAAAUUUGCACUGUUAAUUACAUGGCUGCAGGUAUUGGUGUGUUUGAAACAUGAUUUUAUCCGUGGUUGAAAAUUCUGGCACUGUGUUUUGAAAGAUGCUUUUCGUAAAAUCUUUCGAGUAAAAAUGUGUCUAGAACUUCAUUUUUUAAUCAUAGAACUUUUGAUCAUAUGCGGAAGUGGUAGAUGUACACCAUUGCCCGUUGUUAAUAUAAAUUACUUGUUAAAUUCAAUUUUCAUGAAGUUGUAUCUGGUUA
Tripterygium wilfordii is the source of this 2428-nucleotide long non-coding RNA. RefSeq lists it as uncharacterized. The record is from RefSeq and is a predicted model, not a curated record. Lineage: Eukaryota; Viridiplantae; Streptophyta; Magnoliopsida; Celastrales; Celastraceae. The transcript is spliced from 2 exons.